RNAcentral lists this ribosomal RNA (265 nucleotides) under Rhipicephalus sanguineus (brown dog tick). RNAcentral's name for it is "partial 12S ribosomal RNA". Lineage: Eukaryota; Metazoa; Arthropoda; Arachnida; Ixodida; Ixodidae. The record is from RNAcentral.
UACGAAAGCAAAAAAUUAUGGCGGUAUUUUAAGCUUUUCAGAGGAAUUUGCUCUUUAAUGGAUAAAACACCUGAAUCUUACUUAAAUUUGUUAAUUCAAUUUGUAUACCACUAUAAAAACAAUUAAUAACUUUAAUUGUUUAAACUUAUUAAAUUAAAUUAUAUUAAGUCAAGGUGCAGUAAAAAUUUAAGAAUGAAGUGAAUUACAUUUCUUUUUAGAGAAAGAAAUUUAAAUAACAUUUAGGAUUUGAAAGUAAAAUUGAAAU